UACGUAGGGCGCAAGCGUUAUCCGGAAUUAUUGGGCGUAAAGAGCUCGUAGCGGUUUGUCGCGUCUGCCGUGAAAGUCCGGGGCUCAACUCCGGAUCUGCGGUGGGUACGGGCAGACUAGAGUGAUGUAGGGGAGACUGGAAUUCCUGGUGUAGCGGUGAAAUGCGCAGAUAUCAGGAGGACACCGAUGGCGAAGGCAGGUCUCUGGGCAUUAACUGACGCUGAGGAGCGAAAGCAUG
This 238-nucleotide ribosomal RNA is filed under the name uncultured bacterium. RNAcentral describes it as "partial 16S ribosomal RNA". It matches the Rfam family "Bacterial small subunit ribosomal RNA", at positions 524 to 763 of the family's 1533-position model. The record is from RNAcentral.